RNAcentral lists this ribosomal RNA (554 nucleotides) under uncultured bacterium. RNAcentral's name for it is "bacterial SSU rRNA". It matches the Rfam family "Bacterial small subunit ribosomal RNA", at positions 954 to 1509 of the family's 1533-position model. The record is from RNAcentral.
AAGCAACGCGAAGAACCUUACCUGGGCUUGACAUGCGGGGUGAAACCGUAGAGAUACGGCGCUCCUCGGAGCCCGCACAGGUGGUGCAUGGCUGUCGUCAGCUCGUGCCGUGAGGUGUUGCCUUAAGUGGCGCAACGAGCGCAACCCCUGUCCUUAGUUGCCAGCGGGUAAUGCCGGGAACUCUAGGGAGACUGCCGGUGCCAAACUGGAGGAAGGUGGGGAUGACGUCAAGUCAUCAUGCCCCUUAUGUCCAGGGCUGCACACAUGCUACAAUGCGCGAUACAGAGGGUUGCAAUCCCGUAAGGGGGAGCGAAUCCCAAAAAGUCGCGCUCAGUUCGGAUCGGGGUCUGCAACUCGACCCCGUGAAGUCGGAGUCGCUAGUAAUCGCAGAUCAGCAAUGCUGCGGUGAAUACGUUCCCGGGCCUUGUACACACCGCCCGUCACACCACGAAAGUGGGCAACACCCGAAGCCGGUGGCCUAACCCUUGUGGAGGGAGCCGUCGAAGGUGGGGCUCGCGAUUGGGGUGAAGUCGUAACAAGGUAACCGUAAGGGC